CCCGCAGUUAUCUCUCCCACACGAUUCCACGAAGUCCCAUUUUCCCAACUUCCCUUUUUCCGUUGCUUAAUCACAUUCACUUUCCCUCACACACAGCAAAAAUUCUCUCUCUCUCCCUCAUUUGUGCGCCGGUCAGAGAAUAUGGUGCUGCACGCCGCCGCUCUUUGCUUUUUGAGUCUUGGCCGCUGACGGUUCCCACCGCCUAAACAAAGCUGAGAGCUUCUCCCCGUUGUGUAGCACCACCUACGGUCAGUGUCAUCGCCGACUCUCCCCUUCGUGCACAUGGCCACAAUGUCAUGGACUCCCUCUCUUUCUCUAGGAUUUAGACAAAAACAGAAUUGGGCCGUGAAAAAAUUAAACCACCGGAGAUAACCCUUGCAAGAUUCAUCGCCUCGAUUACUAUCGUCAUCGUAUCCAAUGGAAGGUGGCAUUGCACAACCCUGUUCGAAGUGCUGCAAGGACGUUUCCAACACCCUAGACAGUGUUGUUGCGCUCUCUAAAUUCCAUGGGGUCAUCGCACGUGAUUAGGUGUCAGAUAGUAACCCUCCAACCAUUUUCGGGUACGGGACGUUACAGUCUACUUCUGGUUUUUGUACAUUCCUUGGAAGUAACCUCAUCUCAUGGAGUGCCAAGAAACAAGCAACCAUGGCCUGCUCCAGUGCUGAACAGAGUACAGAUUGAUGGUUGCCACUGCCACUGAGCUCACCUGGGUGCUCUUGGCUACUUGGAGAAUCGUUUUGUCACCUCUGCAAAUCAGCUAGCUGAUAUCUACACGAAGCCAUUGCCCAAGGCUCUCUUUCAUGUCUUCUGUAGAAAACUUGACCUUUGUCUUGAUCCUCAGCCAUGUUUGAAGGGCAGUGAAAGCACCACUACAUCAGUGGAGAAGAUUACACAGCACCGUGAUCCUGACUACAUUAAAAUGCAAGAGAAUAUCUCUCAUCAUGAAGAGGAUAUCACGCAUCAAGACUUGGAAAAUUGAUAGAAUAUUUUCUGCAUCAUUAUUGGAAAGUCUAGCUGUAAUUUCCCUUAUUUAAUACGUAAAUACAACACUCUUGUAUGUAAUUACUCUGUAAAUACAGUAUAUAAUGAAAUGCAAGUCUUCUCUC
Juglans regia (Persian walnut) is the source of this 1106-nucleotide long non-coding RNA. RefSeq lists it as uncharacterized. NCBI's taxonomy places the organism in Eukaryota, Viridiplantae, Streptophyta, Magnoliopsida, Fagales, Juglandaceae. The record is from RefSeq and is a predicted model, not a curated record. The transcript has 7 exons.